This 253-nucleotide ribosomal RNA is filed under the name uncultured bacterium. Its description in RNAcentral is "partial 16S ribosomal RNA". It matches the Rfam family "Bacterial small subunit ribosomal RNA", at positions 524 to 776 of the family's 1533-position model. The record is from RNAcentral.
UACGUAGGGCGCAAGCGUUGUCCGGAAUUAUUGGGCGUAAAGAGCUUGUAGGCGGUUUGUCGCGUCUGCCGUGAAAAUCCGGGGCUCAACCCCGGGCCUGCAGCCGAUACGGGCAGACUAGAGUUCGGCAGGGGAGACUGGAAUUCCUGGUGUAGCGGUGAAAUGCGCAGAUAUCAGGAGGAACACCGGUGGCGAAGGCGGGUCUCUGGGCCGAUACUGACGCUGAGGAGCGAAAGCGUGGGGAGCGAACAGG